UGUUGUUGCUAUUGCCCACUGAAGCUAAGCAGGGUUGAGCCUGGUCAGUACCUGGACGGGAGACCUCCUGGGAAAACUAGGUUGCUGCUGGAA
RNAcentral lists this ribosomal RNA (93 nucleotides) under Sinocyclocheilus grahami. Lineage: Eukaryota; Metazoa; Chordata; Actinopteri; Cypriniformes; Cyprinidae. The record is from RNAcentral.